This 486-nucleotide ribosomal RNA is filed under the name uncultured bacterium. RNAcentral's name for it is "bacterial SSU rRNA". It matches the Rfam family "Bacterial small subunit ribosomal RNA", at positions 8 to 485 of the family's 1533-position model. The record is from RNAcentral.
AGAGUUUGAUCCUGGCUCAGAUUGAACGCUGGCGGAAUGCUUUACACAUGCAAGUCGAGCGGCAGCGCGGGGCAACCUGGCGGCGAGCGGCGAACGGGUGAGUAAUGCAUCGGAACAUGUCCAUGUCGUGGGGGAUAGCCCGGCGAAAGCCGGAUUAAUACCGCAUACGCCCGAGAGGGGAAAGUGGGGGACCGCAAGGCCUCACGCGAUUGGGUUGGCCGAUGUCCGAUUAGCUAGUUGGCGGGGUAAAGGCCCACCAAGGCGAUGAUCGGUAGCUGGUCUGAGAGGAUGAUCAGCCACACUGGGACUGAGACACGGCCCAGACUCCUACGGGAGGCAACAGUGGGGAAUUUUGGACAAUGGGGGCAACCCUGAUCCAGCCAUUCCGCGUGAGUGAAGAAGGCCUUCGGGUUGUAAAGCUCUUUUGUCCGGAAACGGAAACGGCUAGCGUGGAAAUAAUCGCUGGCUACUGACGGAACCGGAAGA